AGGCCUAGGUUUUUGYCUGGYAGWGGGGGAAACGUUUWGAAAGGAACGCKAAUGCCGGAUACGUCCGACGGGAGAAAGCAGGGGACCUUCGGGCCUUGCSCUAUUWSAUGAGCCUAGGUSGGAUUAGCUAGUUGGUGAGGUAAUGGCUCACCAAGGCGACGAUCCGUAACUGGUCUGARAGGAUGAUCAGUCACACUGGAACUGAGACACGGUCCAGACUCCUACGGGAGGCAGCAGUGGGGAAUAUUGGACAAUGGGCGAAAGCCUGAUCCAGCCAUGCCGCGUGUGUGAAGAAGGUCUUCGGAUUGUAAAGCACUUUAAGUUGGGAGGAAGGGUUGUAGAUUAAUACUCUGCAAUUUUGACGUUACCGACRGAAUAAGCACCGGCUAACUCUGUGCCAGCRKCCGCGRUAAUAC
Molecule: ribosomal RNA, 416 nt
Filed under: Pseudomonas sp.
Lineage: Bacteria; Pseudomonadati; Pseudomonadota; Gammaproteobacteria; Pseudomonadales; Pseudomonadaceae
Description: partial 16S ribosomal RNA
Rfam family: Bacterial small subunit ribosomal RNA
Source: RNAcentral